UUUCAUUAGAGGAUCUAAAGCACUUAACAUUUGUUAAGAAAGAUUCACAGCAUCAUCCUCUCCCACCAGGAGUUCCAGCAUAAGAAAGAUCCUCCAGUUUUCAUGGUUAAGAGGUGAAAGACAACAAGUGAGUUAAGAGUGAAAGACAGUAAGUGAGCAAUGGAGUAGCAGGAGCUGGUGAUGAUGGCAGGGGACAAAUGAGAUCAUGUGGGGUCCCUGGCUCCAUUCCCAGCCAGCCCCCCAACCUUUAAACACUUUUGUUAAUAUAGGCAUAUUGAAUGCCUCGUAGUGGGGUGCAUACAUUCUUUUUGUUAUGCUUUGUUUUUGCCUUUUAAAAAAAUGUUCAGGGCAUCAUACUGCAACAUAAUCUUUGCUAAGGUGUGGGUAGGGUGGAAGGACAGCACAGUGGAUCAGUAAUGGCUGGAGCAUAGGAGAGAGAUAGGUAAACUGGGGCACAAAAGGGUUAGAACUCAAAUUUUCUACAAUGUCCCCUAAAUAUGGGUUUCUGGCCUGAUUUUCAUAGGGCCUGAUUUUCAAAGGUUCUGAGCACAACUUCAUUACAUUCACAUUCACUUUAUGGCUGUUUUAUGUCACCAGAGUGGGGUAAAGGCAUUUUAGUGUAAAUGAGAAUUUGGCCUGGAGAUUCUAAACUUAACACCAAAAUUGAGGCACCCACACUUAGUGAACACUUCUGAAUAUUUUGGCCUAAGUGAAAGAACCCAGGAGUCCAGGUACCCAAUCCUUUGUUCUAACCACCUGACUUACUGUUGGUCUUGUGCUGUGAGCAUAUAUCCAGCAAAAUGCAGCUCAAGAUUAAUCGUUUUAUUUAAAAAACAGAAUUUAAUUUGUUAUAAAAACAGAUCUUGUUUGUUGUUUUUGUUAAUACAGCGUAUACCCCCCCGCCCUAUUCGUUUUGGCCAGGCCGCUUCGCAACCCCGCAGCUGACCCGAAGCCAGGAAAGAGGCCCAAUAGACUGCACGACCUUAUUAGGGCAUAGUGCUUAUCACAGGAAACGUAUGAGGGACGUGUCCCUAGUGUUACCACACAAAAAAAGCCAUUUCUGCAGUUUCCGUAUUGUACUGUUCUUCCUAAUAAGGGGAAGACAGUGGGGCACUAAAAAACCAAUUCACUUCCAAAAAACUAUAUACUUAGUCGCCCCUGUAGAGCAAUUAGAGGUGUCCCGAAAACUAAUCUACGUCACGGCCAGUCCAGGUCUGAUCAACUUGGGCUUGACCCUCCCGCUCCCGAAUCCAGCCUGAGUGUGUGUCGUAUAGCCGGCUUGAACUCAUUAUGUAUAUGCUCUCCCAUCUGGCUGUUAUCUGCAUGGUUAAUUCUACAAUUCUCUGUUUGCAAGUUCAGAGGUGAUGUGGUGCCUGAAGGCCUCAUCAGGACUGGGAUCCCAUUGCAUUAUGGCUGUACAAACAAAUAUGAAGAAUUUACAGUUUAAAAUGACAAGUCAUCUAUGGAGUUGUGAUGUGAAGGAAACAUUCAAUUAUACACAACUUUUAUAUCUAUCUAUCUAUCUAUUGUUAUUAAUGUAAAUAAAGUAAGUGCCAAUUUAUCUCUGCAUGCCCCUAAGCCCAGCCAACUUUCUUUGGCUGAUUUCUGAUAGGAACCUUGUCAGAGUAGGGCCUCGAAAUUCCUACAAAUAUUCAAGCAAAUAAGUUAGCAGGCAGGGGUGAUGGAAAAAUUUGUAUAGUGGGGGUGCUGAGAGCCAUUGAACCAAACUGUAAACCUUGUAUGUAACGGAAACCACUUUCAAGCCGAGGGUGCGGCAGCAUUCCCAGUACCCCUAGUUCCAGCACUAUGUUAGCAGGAAUGUUCACUGGCUUACCUGCUGAGCA
Molecule: long non-coding RNA, 1844 nt
Organism: Chrysemys picta bellii (western painted turtle)
Lineage: Eukaryota; Metazoa; Chordata; Testudines; Emydidae
Source: RefSeq, a predicted model, not a curated record